CGGUGGCCACCAGCGCGAUGACCCGGAGCCCCCGCUUGUCCAGGAGCCAGGUGACCGGGAAUAUGAAGGGGAUGUACGUCAGCAUGUAGAUCAUGGACAUCCAGUCUAUGGUGAAGGUGUCCACGUUGUAGAACUUCAUGAAGAUGUUGCUGAUGAUGCCGUACUGGAUCCACUGGAAGGAGUUGGACAGAGAGUAGAAGCUGAAGAGGAGCACGAUCAUCCAGCGCCGGCGGUACAGCCGGGUGGUCCGCGUCGCCUCUUGACCGUCCUUCAGCUUGGGUUCGUCGGCGCACAGCGACGCGUCCACCGUCUCCUCCUGCCGGGCAUGGUCCUCUUUGGUCUCCUCCAGGUUAGGUUUAGGAUCUUCCAGCGCUAGUUUCUCGAUCAUGUUAGUCUCUCAACAAAGUUUCUACCCAAGUGCUGCGGGUCAAAGCACCGCGAAGUGCAAGUGAGCGUGGCGGAGGACUCGCCAGGUCUCAUGGGCGAAAGAGUCACGCUAAGGACAACCAGGCUUUAGAAAUCCACGUUCAUCGGCUUCGACUCACAACGUAGUGUCUCAAAUGUCACUCAUGCUGACCCGAGUGGUUCAUGAUCAGAGGGUGAAGUCUCUACAACGUGCGGAUCCACACAUGGAUUUCCUCUCCCCCGGGAUUGGAGACUCUAUUCUGAGCGAACCCGCGAACUCUGAAGCCCGCGCUGUUCAAAUCACUUCCGAUCAGAGAUGCGUGAAGAAGGAGUCGGAUCUCCUCAGGGACUCCACCGACGGGGUUGACACGUGUAGCGCGGCUUCUGCGACGCUCCACACGGACCAAAAACAAGUCUUCACAGGAGUGGGUCAUCAGAGGCUUAACAAGGGCGGAGUUUCCUCAACAGCACUAUACGCGGGUGUUCAAACAGCUUUUCACAAUCAAAACAGCUCGCUAUUAAAACCAAACACAUCCGGGGAACUCUGCUAUUCAUCAGGUCAAUGUGUCUGAUGAUGAAUUUAAUACGUAUUUCCUGUUGAAUAACUUUAUUUCAACUUUAGGCUCCAGUUUAAAACAUUUCAAUCUAUUUCACAAACAACAAUAGGUUUUAUUCUGUUCUUUAAAGGUGUCAUAUAUCAGAAAAAGAGACACACAAGCCUUGUUCGGAGCCAAAACAUAAUCCUACCCAUCAAGUACAGGAUAUGAAGGAUUCCUGUUCUGCUACUGUAACUUUCAUACGAGUCAACACUGCCCUCUACAGGUUGAGUCAAUGAAGCACCAUGGUGUUUGUUUUUCGUGCCCCCUGCUAUCAGCAUCUGUGCAGACUUCACACACCCACACAGAAGAACACAGUGUGUCGUUCACCGAAGAACAACACUGACAUAAAGGCACGACAACAACAGAGAAGAUUACCGAAGAGACAUCACUUUUAAAGAAUCAGCACAGUCCACACGGUCGCCUGCUCUGUCUGUCGUGAUGAGGAGCCUACAGUGUCACCUCCUGAUACCUCCAAGGCCUCGUGUUUUUUUGUUGAUUUUUUUAUAUUGUUGCCCUGAGAGCCGAACACUCUGCAACUUAAGAUAACACGUGCAAAUGUCAUCAAUUUGAUAGCACAUGCAUGGAAAAUAGAAAAUAAAUAGUACACUGCAAAUACUCACAACACAACAGAAGUGUGUCCAUGGGAGAAAUUGAUGAGGACUGUUAGUUUUUUUUCUCCAUCUGCAUGUAUUUUCUUACAUUGCAGCACGUUGAGCUCCCAGGGCCCCCGUAAAUAAAGGUUUUUAAAAUGCUUCAAAGGUUCAGAGUGUAAGAUUUAGGUGACAGGGUUGUAUUGGCAUAAACUGAAUAUAGAAUAAUCCUAGUGAUGUUUUCAAAAGUGUGUUUCAUCUAAAUUGUACAAAUCGUUGUAGUUUUUUUGCGGGUCCUCUCUACGGAGGCUACCAUGUUUUUUACAGUCGCCAAACCGGACAAACUAAACCCCUUUUUGAGUUUUUAUGACAACUGAAGGCUGCCACAGUUUCUCCUUUGGAAGGGCAUGGUGAGAUGAGGGGCGUUCAACUGAAACAUGCAACUUCACCAGUAGAUGUCAUCAAAUUCUACACACUGAACCUUUAAAGCAAGAUUGCAUUGGUUUAUUUCUCUUUUUUUUUAAACAUAAAAAUUGAUCACUCCUGCACUAAA
This is a long non-coding RNA of Pleuronectes platessa (European plaice), 2147 nucleotides long. RefSeq lists it as uncharacterized. The record is from RefSeq and is a predicted model, not a curated record. Lineage: Eukaryota; Metazoa; Chordata; Actinopteri; Pleuronectiformes; Pleuronectidae. The transcript has 2 exons.